ACGAGUCAAAUCUUUCUACCUAAGGGCAUAGUUGGGUUCUUGGAAUAAGUGACACAUAGGAGAAGUCGGAUCUGAGCUCUUUUGUCACACAAGUGCUAACGAACAGAAAAUGAGCCACGACAGUUAAACACUGAAUGGAUCGCAAUGUGCUUUUCCCUUGGUUUCCCAUAAAAACGAAAAUGAAACACCUUGUGCAAAAAAAUAGGAUACGCUUUUACUGGUUGGUUUAAUGAGAGAGAACCACUUUUGGCCAUUAUCACCUUACGUUACUACAAAUCCUGAAAGGAAAGCAGCUUUGAGUCUUGGGCUCGGCUGAACCCCCUGCAUGGACCGGGGCUAACAGUACCCUCUACGACUCCCACAGGUCUCUCUUUGUGUCCAGAUGGAUGGCGACUGUGAGUCAGCAACGCCAGCCAAGACUUCCUCGCCUUUACCGUGGCAUUGGGGCAGUUUUUCAGGCUCUCUACGGAGAGAGAAGUGGGCCAGUAAGGGAGAGGGCUAGAGAGAGGACACCAGUUUACAUAGGGUUGACUUUCACUUGUGUGUAGUAGCAGUUCAGAAUUUAAAAGAAAUUUCCUUGCAGAAAGAAUGUCUUCCUCUUGGCCCCUCUUAAUUUUUUAUGUUUUUAUUUAUUUUUAAUCUUUGGCAGCAUAGAACUGAUUGUGGUCCUCCGAUGCAUUUCUGGUGUCGAGAACUUCCUUUCUCAACCUCCCCUUCCCCCAUAGCCAUCCCCACAAGCUGUCCCAUCAAGGAAUAUUUCAGGUGUAAACUGAAUAUGCCACGAGGCCUCCUCUUCAUGAAGUGCUUGGUUGGCCUACGUAUGGGUGGCAGGCUGGACACAGCUGAAUCGUCUUUCUGGGUCACCCUGUAACUCAAGUCCCCUUUCCCGUUCUCUCCCAACGCUACUUAUCCGCAGGAAUUGGAUGCCGGCUGGCCCCCCUGAUGGUUCCUGGCCUAGGGGCUGUCAUGGCAGAGGGAAGCCACCAAGGUGCCAUUGAGGAUUGGUGUCUGGCUCUCUAUGGGCAAGAGCGCCAGGGGACACACAGUGGGACCGGAACCUUCCAGAAUGUCUCCUCAGUCAGGUUUUCAAGGGGGAGGGAAUGCGGAGACAGGAGAAAAAAAGUGCUGAGGGCCAAAGCUGGUGCAGGGUGACGGUGCGUCUGGGUAAGGCAAAUGAGAGGCAGUGAGGUGAUCUCAGAAUGGCGUUGAGGCGGUCAGAUUAGGCCGGGCUGGCUCACACGAGGGUCCCGGGCUUGGCUUUUUCCUGCCCGUACCACUGGACAUCAGCUAGUUCUGGAUAGAGGGAGGAAUCCAGGAAACAGCUAUCAUUGUAGCUCCUGUGGGAGGCCCAAGAAAGGAGAUGAGACAGUUAGUUAGUGGAGGAGGAUGGGUUCAGCCAGGCCUGCACUGAGAAGGAUAUGUUCACCUUGACAGGGCCCUGUGCUAAUCACGAGUCUUUCCUGUUCGGAGCAGUGAGGCCUGAGACCCUCAACAGUGCUGUGUGUACAGAAGGCCCCCAGAAUCCACACAAAGGGGCCGCCUGAAACCUAGAGCAUUUGUGAAGGAGGAAAAUGGAAGGAACAACUGGAUGUUGUAAAUGUUUCUCAUCUGGCCUUAAAAUCCAUGAAAGCUGGAAAAUCACAAGGCAUCUGUGCAUAUACUGGUGGAUUUUAAUGAGAGUCCUGUGUUUGGAGCACCAGAAAUAAACCAGCUUCAGAAGCAAAGUAAGAAAAGGCCCUUGAUUAUGACACUGGC
Molecule: long non-coding RNA, 1755 nt
Filed under: Homo sapiens (human)
Lineage: Eukaryota; Metazoa; Chordata; Mammalia; Primates; Hominidae
Description: HSALNT0159195
Source: RNAcentral